This 71-nucleotide transfer RNA is filed under the name Paramuricea clavata. Its description in RNAcentral is "tRNA-Thr". Lineage: Eukaryota; Metazoa; Cnidaria; Anthozoa; Malacalcyonacea; Plexauridae. The record is from RNAcentral.
CUCUUUGUAGCUCAGUUGGUUAGAGUCCUGAACCGGUAUCGCAGGGCCGCAGGUUCGAUUCCUGCAAGAUG